UUAAGUGAAUAAGGGCGCACGGUGGAUGCCUUGGCACUAGGAGCCGAUGAAGGACGGGACUAACACCGAUAUGCUUUGGGGAGCUGUAAGUAAGCUAUGAUCCAGAGAUUUCCGAAUGGGGGAACCCAAUAUCUUUUAUAGGAUAUUACUUUUCAGUGAAUACAUAGCUGAUUAGAGGUAGACGCAGAGAACUGAAACAUCUUAGUACCUGCAGGAAGAGAAAGAAAAUUCGAUUCCCUGAGUAGCGGCGAGCGAAACGGGAAGAGCCCAAACCAACAAGCUUGCUUGUUGGGGUUGUAGGACUCCAAUAUGGUAGUCUGUUAGUAUAGUUGAAGGAUUUGGAAAAUUCCGCUAAAGAGGGUGAAAGCCCCGUAGACGAAAUGCUGACAACACCUAGGAGGAUCCUGAGUACGGCGGAACACGAGAAAUUCCGUCGGAAUCCGCGGGGACCAUCCCGCAAGGCUAAAUACUCCCUAGUGACCGAUAGUGAACCAGUACCGUGAGGGAAAGGUGAAAAGCACCCCGGAAGGGGAGUGAAAUAGAUCCUGAAACCGUGUGCCUACAACAAGUCAAAGCUCGUUAAUGAGUGAUGGCGUGCCUUUUGUAGAAUGAACCGGCGAGUUACGAUUGCAUGCGAGGUUAAGUCGAAGAGACGGAGCCGCAGCGAAAGCGAGUCUGAAUAGGGCGAAUGAGUAUGUAGUCGUAGACCCGAAACCAUGUGAUCUACCCAUGUCCAGGUUGAAGGUGCGGUAAAACGCACUGGAGGACCGAACCCACGUACGUUGAAAAGUGCGGGGAUGAGGUGUGGGUAGCGGAGAAAUUCCAAACGAACUUGGAGAUAGCUGGUUCUCUCCGAAAUAGCUUUAGGGCUAGCCUCGGAAUUGAGAAUGAUGGAGGUAGAGCACUGUUUGGACUAGGGGCCCAUCUCGGGUUACCGAAUUCAGAUAAACUCCGAAUGCCAUUCAUUUAUAUCCGGGAGUCAGACUGCGAGUGAUAAGAUCCGUAGUCGAAAGGGAAACAGCCCAGACCACCAGCUAAGGUCCCAAAAUAUAUGUUAAGUGGAAAAGGAUGUGGGGUUGCACAGACAACUAGGAUGUUGGCUUAGAAGCAGCCACCAUUUAAAGAGUGCGUAAUAGCUCACUAGUCGAGUGACCCUGCGCCGAAAAUGUACCGGGGCUAAACAUAUUACCGAAGCUGUGGACUACACCAUUAGGUGUAGUGGUAGGAGAGCGUUCUAAGGGCGUUGAAGGUCGAUCGUGAGGACGGCUGGAGCGCUUAGAAGUGAGAAUGCCGGUAUGAGUAGCGAAAGACAGGUGAGAAUCCUGUCCACCGUAUGACUAAGGUUUCCUGGGGAAGGCUCGUCCGCCCAGGGUUAGUCGGGACCUAAGCCGAGGCCGAUAGGCGUAGGCGAUGGACAACAGGUUGAUAUUCCUGUACCAGUUGUUUUUGUUUGAGCAAUGGAGGGACGCAGUAGGCUAAGGAAUGCAUGCGAUUGGAAGUGCAUGUCCAAGCAAUGAGUCUUGAGUAGAGUUAAAUGCUUUACUCUUUAAGGACAAGUUGUGAUGGGGAGCGAAAUAAUAGUAGCGAAGUUCCUGAUGUCACACUGCCAAGAAAAGCUUCUAGUGAGAAAACAACUGCCCGUACCGUAAACCGACACAGGUAGUCGAGGAGAGUAUCCUAAGGUGAGCGAGCGAACUCUCGUUAAGGAACUCGGCAAAAUGACCCCGUAACUUCGGGAGAAGGGGUGCUGACUUCGGUCAGCCGCAGUGAAUAGGCCCAAGCGACUGUUUAUCAAAAACACAGGUCUCUGCAAAAUCGUAAGAUGAAGUAUAGGGGCUGACGCCUGCCCGGUGCUGGAAGGUUAAGAGGAUGGGUUAGCUUCGGCGAAGCUCAGAAUUGAAGCCCCAGUAAACGGCGGCCGUAACUAUAACGGUCCUAAGGUAGCGAAAUUCCUUGUCGGGUAAGUUCCGACC
Molecule: ribosomal RNA, 1973 nt
Filed under: human gut metagenome
Description: bacterial LSU rRNA
Rfam family: Bacterial large subunit ribosomal RNA
Source: RNAcentral